This 301-nucleotide ribosomal RNA is filed under the name uncultured bacterium. RNAcentral's name for it is "partial 16S ribosomal RNA". It matches the Rfam family "Bacterial small subunit ribosomal RNA", at positions 509 to 808 of the family's 1533-position model. The record is from RNAcentral.
CAGUAGCCGCGUAAUACGAAGGGGGCUAGCGUUGUUCGGAAUUACUGGGCGUAAAGCGCACGUAGGCGGAUAUUUAAGUCAGGGGUGAAAUCCCGCAGCUCAACUGCGGAACUGCCUUUGAUACUGGGUAUCUUGAGUAUGGAAGAGGUUAGUGGGAUUGCGAGUGUAGAGGUGAAAUUCGUAGAUAUUCGCAGGAACACCAGUGGCGAAGGCGGCUAACUGGUCCAUAACUGACGCUGAGGUGCGAAAGCGUGGGGAGCAAACAGGAUUAGAUACCCGUGUAGUCCCUGUCUCUUAUACC